GAUGAACGCUGGCGGCGUGCCUAAUACAUGCAAGUCGAGCGAACGGACGAGAAGCUUGCUUCUCUGAUGUUAGCGGCGGACGGGUGAGUAACACGUGGAUAACCUACCUAUAAGACUGGGAUAACUUCGGGAAACCGGAGCUAAUACCGGAUGAUAUUUUGAACCGCAUGGUUCAAAAGUGAAAGACGGUCUUGCUGUCACUUAUAGAUGGAUCCGCGCUGCAUUAGCUAGUUGGUAAGGUAACGGCUUACCAAGGCAACGAUGCAUAGCCGACCUGAGAGGGUGAUCGGCCAUACUGGAACUGAGACACGGUCCAGACUCCUACGGGAGGCAGCAGUAGGGAAUCUUCCGCAAUGGGCGAAAGCCUGACGGAGCAACGCCGCGUGAGUGAUGAAGGUCUUCGGAUCGUAAAACUCUGUUAUUAGGGAAGAACAUAUGUGUAAGUAACUGUGCACAUCUUGACGGUACCUAAUCAGAAAGCCACGGCUAACUACGUG
RNAcentral lists this ribosomal RNA (497 nucleotides) under uncultured bacterium. RNAcentral describes it as "partial 16S ribosomal RNA". It matches the Rfam family "Bacterial small subunit ribosomal RNA", at positions 28 to 507 of the family's 1533-position model. The record is from RNAcentral.